UUGAAACAUUGGUUUCCAUACGAUCACCGAAGUUAAGCAACAUCGAGUCUGGUUAGUACCUAGAUGGUGGCCGCUUGAGAGUACCAAGUGCUGUA
This is a non-coding RNA of Acanthosepion pharaonis, 95 nucleotides long. NCBI's taxonomy places the organism in Eukaryota, Metazoa, Mollusca, Cephalopoda, Sepiida, Sepiidae. The record is from the annotation of a GenBank genome assembly.